AAACAAUUCCAAAACCUGGAUCUUUUCCGUUUGGCUGCCAAGAUUUCAAAAAUCAGAGUUUAUUGAAAAUUUUAAGAUUUGGUUCAUUAAUGUAGUUUUCCAAGCUGAAUCGGUGGAGAUAUUUCAUUUUUUCCAGAAAAACUUUUUA
Octopus sinensis (East Asian common octopus) is the source of this 148-nucleotide long non-coding RNA. RefSeq lists it as uncharacterized. The record is from RefSeq and is a predicted model, not a curated record. Lineage: Eukaryota; Metazoa; Mollusca; Cephalopoda; Octopoda; Octopodidae. The transcript is spliced from 3 exons.